GGCAAGGUCGAACGCUUUGUGGUUCAACUGAUUUGAAGAGCUUGCUCAGAUAUGACGAUGGACAUUGCAAAGAGUGGCGAACGGGUGAGUAACACGUGGGAAACCUACCUCUUAGCAGGGGAUAACAUUUGGAAACAGAUGCUAAUACCGUAUAACAAUGACAACCGCAUGGUUGUUAUUUAAAAGAUGGUUCUGCUAUCACUAAGAGAUGGUCCCGCGGUGCAUUAGCUAGUUGGUAAGGUAAUGGCUUACCAAGGCGAUGAUGCAUAGCCGAGUUGAGAGACUGAUCGGCCACAAUGGGACUGAGACACGGCCCAUACUCCUACGGGAGGCAGCAGUAGGGAAUCUUCCACAAUGGGCGAAAGCCUGAUGGAGCAACGCCGCGUGUGUGAUGAAGGGUUUCGGCUCGUAAAACACUGUUGUAAGAGAAGAAUGACAUUGAGAGUAACUGUUCAAUGUGUGACGGUAUCUUACCAGAAAGGAACGGCUAAAUACGUGCCAGCAGCCGCGGUAAUACGUAUGUUCCAAGCGUUAUCCGGAUUUAUUGGGCGUAAAGCGAGCGCAGACGGUUAUUUAAGUCUGAAGUGAAAGCCCUCAGCUCAACUGAGGAAUUGCUUUGGAAACUGGAUGACUUGAGUGCAGUAGAGGAAAGUGGAAC
Molecule: ribosomal RNA, 658 nt
Filed under: Weissella confusa
Lineage: Bacteria; Bacillati; Bacillota; Bacilli; Lactobacillales; Lactobacillaceae
Description: bacterial SSU rRNA
Rfam family: Bacterial small subunit ribosomal RNA
Source: RNAcentral